This 461-nucleotide ribosomal RNA is filed under the name Leptidea serrata. Its description in RNAcentral is "partial 16S ribosomal RNA". The record is from RNAcentral. Lineage: Eukaryota; Metazoa; Arthropoda; Insecta; Lepidoptera; Pieridae.
CUGCCCACUGAAAUAAAUUUAAAGGGCUGCAGUAUAUUGACUGUACAAAGGUAGCAUAAUCAUUAGUCUUUUAAUUGAAGACUUGUAUGAAUGAUUGGAUGAAAUAUAAGCUGUCUCUUUAUAAAAAAUAAAAUUUAAUUUUUUAGUAAAAAAGCUAAAAUAAUUUUAAAAGACGAGAAGACCCUAUAGAGUUUAAUAUUUAAGAAAAUUUUAUUAUUAUAUUAAAGUUAAUUUUAAAAAUUAUGGUAAAUAUUUCAUUGGGGUGAUGGAAAAAUUAAUAAAACUUUUUUUAAAUAAUAAACAUUAAUAAAUGAUAUUAUGAUCCAUAAUUUAUGAUUAAAAGAAAAAAUUACCUUAGGGAUAACAGCGUAAUUUUUUUUUUUAGUUCAAAUAAAAAAAAGAGUUUGCGACCUCGAUGUUGGAUUAAGAUAAAAUUUAAAUGUAGAAGUUAAAAAUUUUGG